UACAGAGACUGCAAGCGUUAUUCGGAUUCACUGGGCGUAAAGGGUGCGCAGGCGGCCAAGUGUGUUAGGCGUGAAAGCCCGAGGCUCAACCUCGGAAUUGCACCUAAAACUACUUGGCUAGAGUACUGGAGAGGGAGGCGGAAUUCACGGUGUAGCAGUGAAAUGCGUAGAUAUCGUGAGGAACACCAAUGGCGAAGGCAGCCUCCUGGACAGUUACUGACGCUCAGGCACGAAAGCGUGGGGAGCAAAAGGG
RNAcentral lists this ribosomal RNA (253 nucleotides) under uncultured Alterococcus sp. RNAcentral's name for it is "partial 16S ribosomal RNA". It matches the Rfam family "Bacterial small subunit ribosomal RNA", at positions 524 to 776 of the family's 1533-position model. The record is from RNAcentral. Lineage: Bacteria; Pseudomonadati; Verrucomicrobiota; Opitutia; Opitutales; Alterococcaceae.